RNAcentral lists this transfer RNA (70 nucleotides) under Rhoptropella ocellata (Namaqua day gecko). Its description in RNAcentral is "tRNA-Trp". The record is from RNAcentral. Lineage: Eukaryota; Metazoa; Chordata; Lepidosauria; Squamata; Gekkonidae.
AAAUUUAGGUUAAUCACAUAAACCAGAGACCUUCAAAGCCUCAAAUAGGACCUGAAACGCCUAAUUUCUG